Molecule: long non-coding RNA, 1262 nt
Filed under: Monodelphis domestica (gray short-tailed opossum)
Lineage: Eukaryota; Metazoa; Chordata; Mammalia; Didelphimorphia; Didelphidae
Description: lncRNA (ENSMODG00000038919.1)
Source: RNAcentral
UUCCCAUCAUAUCUUCCGUGAGCAGCUAGCAGGCACAGUGGAUAGAGCCAUAGGCUGAGGGUCAGAAAGACCUCAGUGCAAAUUCAGUUUCAAAUACUUCCUUUAUGACUCUGGGGAAGCCACUUCACCUCAGUUUGCCUCAGUUUCCUCAUCUAUGAAAUGAGGAUAAUAAUAGUACCUAUCUCCCAGGGGAGUUGUGAGAAUCAAUUUAGAUAAUUGCUAGUAGGCAAUAUAUAAACGUUAGUUAUUGUUUUUAUUAUUAUUAUGCUUCUUGGCAGAGUGCUUGAUACAUAGUAGGUGCUAUAUAAAUGUUAGCUAUUAUCAGUAUUAUUAUUAAAGUUGGAGAAAGAAAUGGCAAACUACUCCAGUGUCUCUGCCAAGAAAAGCCCAAAUGAGUGAAGAAGAGUCAGAUAUGACUGAAAACUACUGAACAACAUUGAAAAUCACAGUGCCUGGCACAUAGUAGGCGCUAUACUAAUGACGUUGUUGUUUGGUCAUUUUCAGUCAUGCCUGACUCUUCCUCUCUCAUUUGGGAUUUUCUUGGCAGAGCCAUUGGAGCCGUUGGCUAUUUCCUUCUCCAGCUCAUUAUACAGAUGAGGAAACUGAGGGAAACAAAGUGAAGAGAUUUGCUGAGGGUCACACAGCUGGUCAGUGUCUGAAUCCAGAUUUGAACUCAGGAAGAUGAGUCUUCCUGAUUCCAAGCUCAAUGCCCUAUCCACUGCACUCCCUGGUUGUUAGCUAUUAUUAUUAUUAAAUUUCUUAGCACAGUGCCUGGUACCUAGCAGAUGCAAUAUAAAUAUUGGCAAUUAUUAUUAUUAGCCCAGUACCUCUCACUUAAUAAGCAAUAUAUAAAUGCUUGCUAUUGUUAUUAUUGUUGAAGUUCUUAGUACAGAGCCUUGCACACAGUAGGUGCUAUAAAAUGUUAGCAGUUAUUAUUAGCAUAGCACCUCUCACUUAAUAAGCAAUAAUAAAUGUUAGCCAUUGUUAUUAUUAUUAUUAUUAAAGUUCUUAGCACAGCGCCUGGCACAUAGUAGGUGCUACGUAAAAUGUAAGCAAUUCUUGCUACUAGCACAGUGCCUCACUAAGCGAUCCCUAAGGUUAGCUCCUACUGUUAUUCAUGAUUAUUUUUGCCACCUCAGAAGGAAGGAAUGGACCGAGCAGAUGAAGUCGCUGCUCCCCUGGAACUCUAGUUCCAAUAGGGCAACUCCGGGGACUUUCGCUUCUGAAAACAAGAGCAGCCACUACCAGCCCUCCAGUCCCCC